AAGUCGUAACAAGGUUUCCGUAGGUGAACCUGCGGAAGGAUCAUUAAUACGUUUGAAAAAAACGUUUUAAACUCCAAAAUUUUAAUAGUGGAAAUAUAACUUCCGGAUGCAUUUGUAGGGAGGGGAAGAUUAGACCUUAAAAAGUCUGGUUUUCUCCUUCUUGAAAAGGAAACUUCAUGCACUUUAUUGUGUGUGACACUUCAGAGUAGAGCAGUGAGGUGAAAACUUCGGUUUUGGUUUCUGAAAUACAUCUGUAUCCGGUUAUUUUCUGUUCUACAACCCCUUUUAUAAAACAAUAAACCCCAUGUACAACAACUUGAACUGAACAAAUUUUGUUUUCUCCUUUGUGAGGAAAUGAAGUAAAUCUGAACUUAAGAACAACUCUUAACAACGGAUAUCUUGGUUCUC
RNAcentral lists this unclassified non-coding RNA (408 nucleotides) under fungal sp. Its description in RNAcentral is "partial internal transcribed spacer region". The stretch from base 1 to 46 matches the Rfam family "Eukaryotic small subunit ribosomal RNA", at positions 1786 to 1831 of the family's 1831-position model. Lineage: Eukaryota; Fungi. The record is from RNAcentral.